This 587-nucleotide ribosomal RNA is filed under the name uncultured bacterium. RNAcentral describes it as "bacterial SSU rRNA". It matches the Rfam family "Bacterial small subunit ribosomal RNA", at positions 338 to 916 of the family's 1533-position model. The record is from RNAcentral.
CCUACGGGAGGCAGCAGUAGGGAAUCUUCCACAAUGGACGAAAGUCUGAUGGAGCAACGCCGCGUGAGUGAUGAAGGUUUUCGGAUCGUAAAACUCUGUUGUAAGGGAAGAACAAGUACGAGAGGGAAUGCUCGUACCUUGACGGUACCUUGCGAGAAAGCCACGGCUAACUACGUGCCAGCAGCCGCGGUAAUACGUAGGUGGCAAGCGUUGUCCGGAAUUAUUGGGCGUAAAGCGCGCGCAGGCGGCCUUUUAAGUCUGAUGUGAAAGCCCCCGGCUCAACCGGGGAGGGUCAUUGGAAACUGGAAGGCUUGAGUACAGAAGAGAAGAGUGGAAUUCCAUGUGUAGCGGUGAAAUGCGUAGAGAUGUGGAGGAACACCAGUGGCGAAGGCGACUUUUUGGUCUGUAACUGACGCUGAGGCGCGAAAGCGUGGGGAGCAAACAGGAUUAGAUACCCUGGUAGUCCACGCCGUAAACGAUGAGUGCUAGGUGUUGGGGGGUUUCCGCCCGUCAGUGCUGAAGCUAACGCAUUAAGCACUCCGCCUGGGGAGUACGGCCGCAAGGCUGAAACUCAAAUGAAUUGACGG